RNAcentral lists this ribosomal RNA (253 nucleotides) under uncultured bacterium. RNAcentral describes it as "partial 16S ribosomal RNA". It matches the Rfam family "Bacterial small subunit ribosomal RNA", at positions 524 to 776 of the family's 1533-position model. The record is from RNAcentral.
UACGAAGGGCGCAAGCGUUGUUCGGAAUCAUUGGGCGUAAAGGGUGCGUAGGCGGUUAAGUAAGUCAGCUGUGAAAGCCCCAAGCUCAACUUGGGAAUUGCAGUUGAAACUGCUUUGCUAGAAUUUGGCGGGGGAUAAUGGAAUUCUUAGUGUAGGGGUGAAAUCCGUAGAUAUUAAGAGGAACAUCAGAGGCGAAGGCGAUUAUCUACACCAAUAUUGACGCUGAGGCACGAAAGCGUGGGGAGCAAACAGG